UAGUCAUAUGCUUGUCUCAAAGAUUAAGCCAUGCAUGUCUAAGUAUAAGCAAUUAUACCGCGAAACUGCGAAUGGCUCAUUAUAUAAGUUAUCGUUUAUUUGAUAAUACUUUACUACUUGGAUAACCGUGGUAAUUCUAGAGCUAAUACAUGCUGAAAAUCCCGACUUCGGAAGGGAUGUAUUUAUUAGAUUAAAAACCAAUGCCCCUCGGGGCUCUCUGGUGAAUCAUGAUAACUAGUCGAAUCGACAGGCCUUGUGCCGGCGAUGGCUCAUUCAAAUUUCUUCCCUAUCAACUUUCGAUGUUUGGGUAUUGGCCAAACAUGGUGGCAACGGGUAACGGAGGGUUAGGGCUCGACCCCGGAGAAGGAGCCUGAGAAACGGCUACUACAUCCAAGGAAGGCAGCAGGCGCGCAAAUUACCCAAUCCCGACACGGGGAGGUAGUGACAAUAAAUACUGAUACAGGGCUCUUUUGGGUCUUGUAAUCGGAAUGAGUACAAUUUAAAUCCCUUAACGAGGAACAAUUG
This 525-nucleotide ribosomal RNA is filed under the name uncultured eukaryote. RNAcentral's name for it is "SSU rRNA". It matches the Rfam family "Eukaryotic small subunit ribosomal RNA", at positions 21 to 550 of the family's 1831-position model. The record is from RNAcentral.